CCUUCGGGUGGGGAAUAACAGUCGGAAACGGCUGCUAAUACCGCAUAAUGCAGCGGCAUCAUAAGAUGACAGUUGUUAAAGCGGGGAUCGUAAGACCUCGCGCCUGAAGAGAAGCCUGCGGUGGAUUAGGUAGUUGGUGAGGUAAUGGCUCACCAAGCCCGCGAUCCGUAACCGGCCUGAGAGGGCGGUCGGUCACACUGACACUGACAUACGGGUCAG
Molecule: ribosomal RNA, 219 nt
Filed under: uncultured bacterium
Lineage: Bacteria
Description: partial 16S ribosomal RNA
Rfam family: Bacterial small subunit ribosomal RNA
Source: RNAcentral